GACGAACGCUGGCGGCGGGCUUAACACAUGCAAGUCGAACGGAAAGGCCCUGCUUGUGUGUGGUGCUCGAGUGGCGAACGGGUGAGAAACACAUGAGUCACCUUCCCUUGACUUUGUGAUAACUUCAGACAACUGCUACUAAUACCUGAUAGGAGCUCCUGCUGCAUGGGGGGGGUUGGAAAUUUUCGGCGGUUGGGGCUGGACUCGCGGCUUAUCAGCUGGUGGGGUGGGUAGUGGCUUACCAGGCCUUUGACGGGUGGCCUGCCUGAGAGGGUGACCGGCGACAUUGGGACUGAGAUACGGCCCAGACUCGUACGGGAGGCAGCAGUGGGGAAUAUUGCACAGUGGGCGGAAGCCUGAUGCAGAAACGCCGCGUGCGGGAUGACGGCCUUCGGGUUGUAAACGGCUUUCGCCUGUGACGAAGCGUGAGUGACGGUAAUGGGUAAAGAAGCACCGGCUAACUACGUG
Molecule: ribosomal RNA, 468 nt
Filed under: uncultured bacterium
Lineage: Bacteria
Description: partial 16S ribosomal RNA
Rfam family: Bacterial small subunit ribosomal RNA
Source: RNAcentral